Molecule: long non-coding RNA, 1768 nt
Organism: Triticum urartu
Lineage: Eukaryota; Viridiplantae; Streptophyta; Magnoliopsida; Poales; Poaceae
Source: RefSeq, a predicted model, not a curated record
GCCCCGCCAUGGGCUGGAUUCGGUAAGAUCCACUGUGCCACCCCUCGACCAGCCCGGCCCUCGCGUCGGCGGCUCCACCGAGCCAAAUCCCGAGCCCCUCCUUCGCCAGUAUUCUUCACCGCCGACGCACAUCGACCGGCAGCGAAUCAUCCUGCGCAAGACGACGCGGCCCCCGCCCCAGACUGGUGCCAACGCGGCCCCGUGCCCAGCUUCUCCCUAUUGGCGUCGUCUUGGUCCCCGCCGCCUCGGUCUCUCGCCGGUUCAGUGCAUCUCGGGGCCGGCCCCUGACGAUUCCAACCGGCGACGGGGUCCCCUACUCGCGUGCCCCUUGGGACCCCCUGCAAUCCUGAUCUCCCUGGCCACGCAAUCCUCACGUAGCCUUCGUAGGGCUGUGGAUUGGAUUGACGGCGUGGAUACAACCUUCUGAGUCAGAUGCUGGAGGACGUGGUGGACUGUCGAUCUGCUCCACAGCCCGGCAGGUGGCAGUGCAGACGAGCGUCGCCAGCUCAAGAGGAUUUGAUGAUGUCCAGGGCAUGGAUGAGGCCAAGCAGGAGCUUCUUGAGGUGAAUAUGGUGCACUAAUAAUCAAUACUAGUUGCUCAUGCUGGAAGAGAAAAGGGGGAAAACAUUGGAAAAAGAGUUGCAAUCAGGAUGAACAAGAGUUUUGUAAAAGAGGAGCUGAGAGGGCACAUCAAGAUGGAAGCUCACUUUUCAGGUCCAUGGCCAGCAAAGCGUGGGACAACAGUUGUGGCAAUGGAGAACAUGGUAGAUGGAGAAGGGGAGGUCAAGGGGGGAGGUUUGGGGAGCUGUGACUGGGAAGGUGGAAGCGGCGCGAGGUGCUACUGAGAUCAUGCCAUGAUCGCUAAUGGUUAUGAGCGCUAAUAACCAUUAGGAGGGUUUGGUGCAUCAGCUGUCAUGAUUGCUUAUGUCGUUAGGGGGAGUAGCAGUUACGAUCAUGACAGAUUCUCCCUUGGAGGCCAUGUGCGCGAGGGACUGUUUCUUUCCUUUUUGGUUUGCCAGUUGGAUCUGGGAGAGGUCCACUACCAAUUUAAGGGUGUGUGCCCUGGGCCGCUAGCCAGCCAACGGUUGCUGGCUAGUCGCGUUCCAAAAAUAAACACAGAAACACCCAGCGAAAUUUGGUAAACAAGCCAGAACCAGUCCCGAGCACUUGGGCGUCAAUAACUGUAGCAAAUUAAGAGCAGAAAUCAGCAUCAACAGGAACCCUAUUAGAGCACAAAUAUUGGGUAUGAAGGGACUGUAGUGGCGAAGGGAAAUAUGCAGCAAAGUUGAAGAUGAAGGGACGAACUACUGGAGAAGCACAACUCCUAGAUGUUACUGCAUCACUACCGGAUGAAGAAGGGGGAGAACCUGGGUAUCGACACACUGCAUAUGUAGGUAACUCGCCAACAUCACAUUCUGCGCAAUCCCAUAGCUCUGCAAAUAUAUCAAAAACAACACACAUAAACAAGGGAGGCAUUCACUCACACCUUUCAAACCUGGGGGAGCAUGGCAAACUUUGAAGAAUACACGAACGAUGCGAGGCGAUGGGUGAGCGCCAGGUCAGGGUAGGCGGGGCGGCCCCACCUAUCCGUACCUUCAUGGAGCCGUGGAUUAAGCAGACAAACAUGGACUUUGCUCAUUUAUUAGUACAAGCAGAAGAUCGUCUCCCUCUACGACAGAAUGGUUACGUUUUUCGCCCAUUGUAAUACUACUUUUCUAAUUCACCCGUUCCACAAGGAGCAUGAUAUGAAUACCAGAGGAACAUAUUA